Molecule: transfer RNA, 61 nt
Filed under: Dicranum scoparium
Lineage: Eukaryota; Viridiplantae; Streptophyta; Bryopsida; Dicranales; Dicranaceae
Description: partial tRNA-Phe
Rfam family: tRNA
About the family: Transfer RNA (tRNA) molecules are approximately 80 nucleotides in length. Their secondary structure includes four short double-helical elements and three loops (D, anti-codon, and T loops).
Source: RNAcentral
GCCGGAAUAGCUCAGUUGGUAGAGCAGAGGACUGAAAAUCCUCGUGUCACCAGGUCAAAUA